GCCGGGCGUUGUGGCGGGCGCCUGUGGUCCCAGCUACUUGGGAGGCGGAGGCAGGAGACUCGCUUGAGCCCAGGAGUUGGAGGUUGCUGUGAGCUGUAAUGCCAUGGCACUCUGCCCAGGGGGACAGCUUGAGGCUCUGUCUCAAAAAAAUAAAAUAAAAUAAAAUAAAAUAAAGUAAGUAAAGAAAAUGCUCUUUUUUUUUUUUUAAUUGAGACAGAGUCUCACUAUGUUGCCCUGGGUAGAGUGCGGUGGGGUCACAGCUCACAGCAACCUC
RNAcentral lists this small RNA (274 nucleotides) under Otolemur garnettii (small-eared galago). RNAcentral's name for it is "Metazoan signal recognition particle RNA (ENSOGAG00000030048.1)". Lineage: Eukaryota; Metazoa; Chordata; Mammalia; Primates; Galagidae. The record is from RNAcentral.